RNAcentral lists this long non-coding RNA (231 nucleotides) under Prunus dulcis (almond). RNAcentral's name for it is "sRNA ncRNA". Lineage: Eukaryota; Viridiplantae; Streptophyta; Magnoliopsida; Rosales; Rosaceae. The record is from RNAcentral.
AUGUCGCUCAAACUCCAUUGCCACUAUCUAGCUCCCCCACCACGUCCAAAUCCACCAUUCUUUCUCUUUCUCACUCUCUCUCAUUCACUAAGCCAACUGCCCAAAUCCUCCCUCUCGCGACACUGCCGAACUCCUCCACCAUGCCCAGAUCUGUUAUGGCCAUUACCCAAAUCCACCAUUCUGUCUUACACUGAGUUUGAAGCGGCUUUGGAAACAGAUCGGGAGGGCUAG